UUUCUUGCUGGACAUCUCUGCCUACUUGAGGCCUUCCAAAGGAAACUGAAGAGACUCCUAUUUAGAAGUAAACAAACAACAACAACAACAACAAAAAAAACAACAACCAAAACUCACCAACCCAAAAAAAGCAGAAGAAAGUGAAUUGGCAUAGUGUUUCUUCUCUGGUUCAGAAAGGCACAGGUAAGGAAGACUGUGUUUCAGCCUGACUCCAAUUGAAUAUGAAAGUGUUGCAGCAUUGGAUGGUGACUUUGGGUAUGAACAAUUGCAAAUGGAUUUCUCUUCCCUGUGUCAACGUGCCUGUGGAGCUGCAACCAGCCUGGAGGUACACACUGAAGUUAGUUAUAGUAGAUUUUGAAGCACUGUAUAGUGGUAGAGGUGGUUCUAGAUCAUUAUAGCUGGAAGUCUGAAGUAGCUUGAUAAAAUGAAAAUCUAGCAUACUGAGUCAAUGCUGUCAUACUGUGGUUGAUAAUGCCUGAAUGUGUUGAGAUGUAACUUGGUGAAAUUAAAUGCAAAACAUCGCUCCUU
This is a long non-coding RNA of Gallus gallus (chicken), 528 nucleotides long. The record is from Ensembl. Lineage: Eukaryota; Metazoa; Chordata; Aves; Galliformes; Phasianidae.